RNAcentral lists this transfer RNA (77 nucleotides) under Lysobacteraceae bacterium. Its description in RNAcentral is "tRNA-Arg". It matches the Rfam family "tRNA". From Rfam's summary of the family: Transfer RNA (tRNA) molecules are approximately 80 nucleotides in length. Their secondary structure includes four short double-helical elements and three loops (D, anti-codon, and T loops). The record is from RNAcentral. Lineage: Bacteria; Pseudomonadati; Pseudomonadota; Gammaproteobacteria; Lysobacterales; Lysobacteraceae. RNAcentral also lists the same sequence under 6 other names.
GGCCCCGUGGCACAACUGGAUAGCGCGCACCCCUCCUAAGGGUGAGGUUGUGGGUUCGAACCCCGCCGGGGCCACCA